UGAGAAUGAGUGAUCAUCUUACUGUGUC
This 28-nucleotide non-coding RNA is filed under the name Homo sapiens (human). Lineage: Eukaryota; Metazoa; Chordata; Mammalia; Primates; Hominidae. The record is from RNAcentral.